GAUGAACGCUGGCGGCGUGCUUAACGCAUGCAAGUCGAACGGAAAGGCUCCUGCUUGCAGGGGUACUCGAGUGGCGAACGGGUGAGUAACACGUGGGUGAUCUGCCCUGCACUUCGGGAUAAGCCUGGGAAACUGGGUCUAAUACCGGAUAGGACGAUGGUUUGGAUGCCAUUGUGGAAAGUUUUUCGGUGUGGGAUGAGCUCGCGGCCUAUCAGCUUGUUGGUGGGGUAAUGGCCUACCAAGGCGUCGACGGGUAGCCGGCCUGAGAGGGUGUACGGCCACAUUGGGACUGAGAUACGGCCCAGACUCCUACGGGAGGCAGCAGUGGGGAAUAUUGCACAAUGGGCGCAAGCCUGAUGCAGCGACGCCGCGUGGGGGAUGACGGCCUUCGGGUUGUAAACUCCUUUCGCUAGGGACGAAGCGCAAGUGACGGUACCUGGAGAAGAAGCACCGGCUAACUACGUA
This 465-nucleotide ribosomal RNA is filed under the name uncultured bacterium. RNAcentral describes it as "partial 16S ribosomal RNA". It matches the Rfam family "Bacterial small subunit ribosomal RNA", at positions 28 to 507 of the family's 1533-position model. The record is from RNAcentral.